Non-coding RNA from Suncus etruscus (white-toothed pygmy shrew), 378 nucleotides. The record is from the annotation of a RefSeq genome assembly. Lineage: Eukaryota; Metazoa; Chordata; Mammalia; Eulipotyphla; Soricidae.
AUGAAGACAUCCAUUGGUGCAGGAUUCCUGUUCUUGUGGCUGAGGAUGGGUUGUGUUAGUAGAGGAGAGAAUGUGGAGCAGAGUCCUUCCAUCCUGAGUGUCCACCAGGGAGCCAAGGCUGUUAUCAACUGUACUUAUUCAGAUAGUUCCUCAAGCUACUUCCCUUGGUAUAAGCAAGAACUUGGGAAAAGCCUUCAUUUGAUCAUCUACAUUCUUUCAACUAAGCCACAAGAGAAAGACCAAAGACUCACAGUUUUACUGGAUAAAAAUGCCAAACAUCUUUCCCUGCACAUAGCAGAUACCCAGCCUGGAGACUCAGCUGUCUACUUCUGUGCAGCGAGUGCACAGUGCUUUCCAGGCACCUGCAACUUGUGCUGA